AUUGGCAAUCGUCCCACGUGGGCUGCUGU
RNAcentral lists this unclassified non-coding RNA (29 nucleotides) under Mus musculus (house mouse). Its description in RNAcentral is "oocyte_clustered_small_RNA2113". The record is from RNAcentral. Lineage: Eukaryota; Metazoa; Chordata; Mammalia; Rodentia; Muridae.